UUGUCUCAAAGAUUAAGCCAUGCAUGUCUCAGUACGAGCCGCAUUAAGGUGAAACCGCGAAAGGCUCAUUAAAUCAGUUAUGGUUCCUUAGAUCGUACCCACAUUUACUUGGAUAACUGUGGUAAUUCUAGAGCUAAUACAUGCAAACAGAGCUCCGACCGGAGACGGAAGGAGCGCUUUUAUUAGAUCAAAACCAAUCGGUGUCGGGCUUGCUCGUCACCGUACACCUUGGUGACUCUGAAUAACUUUUUGCUGAUCGCACGGUCUCGCACCGGCGACGCAUCUUUCAAAUGUCUGCCUUAUCAACUGUCGAUGGUAGGUUCUGCGCCUACCAUGGUUGUAACGGGUAACGGGGAAUCAGGGUUCGAUUCCGGAGAGGGAGCCUGAGAAACGGCUACCACAUCCAAGGAAGGCAGCAGGCGCGCAAAUUACCCACUCCCGGCACGGGGAGGUAGUGACGAAAAAUAACGAUACGGGACUCAUCCGAGGCCCCGUAAUCGGAAUGAGUACACUCUAAACCCUUUAACGAGGAUCAAUUGGAGGGCAAGUCUGGUGCCAGCAGCCGCGGUAAUUCCAGCUCCAAUAGCGUAUAUUAAAGUUGUUGCGGUUAAAAAGCUCGUAGUCGAAUUUGUGUCUCGCGCCGCCGGUUCAUCGCUCGCGGUGUUUAACUGGCGUGUUCGCGGGACGUCCUGCCGGUGGGCGCAGCCCUUUCGGGGGCGGCCCAACUUCAAAUCCCACCGCGGUGCUCUUCACCGAGUGUCGAGGUGGGCCGGCACGUUUACUUUGAACAAAUUAGAGUGCUUAAAGCAGGCUAAAACUUCGCCUGAAUACUGUGUGCAUGGAAUAAUGGAAUAGGACCUCGGUUCUAUUUUGUUGGUUUUCGGAACUCCGAGGUAAUGAUUAAUAGGAACGGAUGGGGGCAUUCGUAUUGCGACGUUAGAGGUGAAAUUCUUGGAUCGUCGCAAGACGGACAGAAGCGAAAGCAUUUGCCAAAAACGCUUUCAUUGAUCAAGAACGAAAGUUAGAGGUUCGAAGGCGAUCAGAUACCGCCCUAGUUCUAACCAUAAACGAUGCCAGCUAGCGAUCCGCCGACGUUCCUCCGAUGACUCGGCGGGCAGCUUCCGGGAAACCAAAGCUUUUGGGUUCCGGGGGAAGUAUGGUUGCAAAGCUGAAACUUAAAGGAAUUGACGGAAGGGCACCACCAGGAGUGGAGCCUGCGGCUUAAUUUGACUCAACACGGGAAACCUCACCAGGCCCGGACACCGGAAGGAUUGACAGAUUGACAGCUCUUUCUUGAUUCGGUGGGUGGUGGUGCAUGGCCGUUCUUAGUUGGUGGAGCGAUUUGUCUGGUUAAUUCCGAUAACGAACGAGACUYUAGCCUGCUAACUAGGCGUAUUCUCGACAUCUCAAAGGCCCCUCGGUUCGGCUCUCGAGUCGUUUCCGUGGGUGAUUUUUACUGUCGGGGUACAAAUAAUUYUUYUUAGAGGGACAGGCGGCUUCUAGCCGCACGAGAUUGAGCAAUAACAGGUCUGUGAUGCCCUUAGAUGUUYUGGGCCGCACGCGCGCUACACUGAAGGAAUCAGCGUGUYUUCCCUGGCCGAGCGGCCCGGGUAACCCGCUGAACCUCCUUCGUGCUAGGGAUUGGGGCUUGCAAUUGUUCCCCAUGAACGAGGAAUUCCCAGUAAGCGCGAGUCAUAAGCUCGCGUUGAUUACGUCCCUGCCCUUUGUACACACCGCCCGUCGCUACUACCGAUUGAAUGAUUUAGUGAGGUCUUCGGACCGGUGCGCGGUAGCGUAACCACCUCCCCGAUGUU
This 1814-nucleotide ribosomal RNA is filed under the name Trochalus sp. BMNH 670862. Its description in RNAcentral is "SSU rRNA". It matches the Rfam family "Eukaryotic small subunit ribosomal RNA". The record is from RNAcentral. Lineage: Eukaryota; Metazoa; Arthropoda; Insecta; Coleoptera; Scarabaeidae.